Long non-coding RNA from Syngnathus acus (greater pipefish), 347 nucleotides. RefSeq lists it as uncharacterized. The record is from RefSeq and is a predicted model, not a curated record. Lineage: Eukaryota; Metazoa; Chordata; Actinopteri; Syngnathiformes; Syngnathidae. The transcript is spliced from 3 exons.
CCUGAGAGAAACGUCACGCGCUUACGAGGUCUUCCGAGGGCUCUCGGGUGACGAGGAGGAGCAAAGCUUACCGUCCAGGUCUCCCAGGAUGAUGAACUUCUGAAUGACAUGGUAUUCCCGUGGCAGCGUCUCGACUUCCUGGUGGGCCAUCCCUGAAGAGAUCAGGUGCUUCUCCACCAGUGUGUCCACCAUCACCUUGAACCAUCCUCCAGGUGCAGGCCUUCCAGAUGCCUCUUUGAGGGUUCCCUUCCACCGGGCGCAACUCGGCACUGCCUGCAGACCAACACCCCCAAAGUGAGCUCCAUUGGCGUGCGGCUACCGUCGAUUUUUUGAAAGAGGACCUGAGU